This is a long non-coding RNA of Oncorhynchus keta (chum salmon), 1129 nucleotides long. RefSeq lists it as uncharacterized. NCBI's taxonomy places the organism in Eukaryota, Metazoa, Chordata, Actinopteri, Salmoniformes, Salmonidae. The record is from RefSeq and is a predicted model, not a curated record. The transcript has 3 exons.
AGGAUGCUUCUGCUUAAAGGGAGGUUGGGUUUAGUGGUAUUACAGGAUGCUUCUGCUUAAAGGGAGGUUGGGUUUAGUGGUAUUACAGGAUGCUUCUGCUUAAAGGGAGGUUGGGUUUAGUGGUAUUACAGGAUGCUUCUGCUUAAAGGGAGGUUGGGUUUAGUGGUAUUACAGGAUGCUUCUGCUUAAAGGGAGGUUGGGUUUAGUGGUAUUACAGGAUGCUUCUGCUUAAAGGGAGGUUGGGUUUAGUGGUAUUACAGGAUGCUUCUGCUUAAAGGGAGGUUGGGUUUAGUGGUAUUACAGGAUGCUUCUGCUUAAAGGGAGGUUGGGUUUAGUGGUAUUACAGGAUGCUUCUGCUUAAAGGGAGGUUGGGUUUAGUGGUAUUACAGGAUGCUUCUGCUUAAAGGGAGGUUGGGUUUAGUGGUAUUACAGGAUGCUUCUGCUUAAAGGGAGGUUGGGUUUAGUGGUAUUACAGAAUGCUUCUGCUUAAAGGGAGGUUGGGUUUAGUGGUAUUACAGGAUGCUUCUGCUUAAAGGGAGGUUGGGUUUAGUGGUAUUACAGGAUGUCAUACUUGGUGGAGAGUGUUCAAGGAAUGAGGGAGAUGGGGAGAGAGAGGUUUUGAAGUGAUGUUAUUGGGUGAUAGUGCCACCACUGACACCUCUGAUGGGCCCCAGUGUGACCUUUUAGUUCCCUCCAUAGCAGUCGGUCUGUGGUGGUUUCACAACAUUCAGGUGUGUGUGUGUGGCUACUGGGUAGAGUGUGCCAUGCCAGCGGGCUGUUUGAUGAAUGCUCUGAUCUGACUGAUCUGUGUACAGUAUGUCUGUCUGAAGCUCUCUCUCUAUAAAAAUUCUAUGCUGUGGUAUAAAUAGUAUAGUAUUCACUGUUGUGUUUUUGCAGACUUUACUGUAGUAUUCACUGUAGUGUUUUUGCAGUUAUAUGUAGUAAAAUAAAUUGUAUAUACUACAGUAAUUCAUGUAGUGUUUUUGCAGAUUGUAGUAUACUGUAGUAUUUACUGUAGUACAAAGUAUCAUCUUUGAGGAAAACUAUUGGAGAAAUACUAAAAGAGCAGCUUUUCCAUAACCUGUAGGUAGGUAAGUCUGGGGUCUGAAGGUCUGGGGUCUGAAGGGAA